CAUGCACCGGUGGGGUCCCUCGGCCUGGCCUGUGCCCUCUCACAAUCUGGGACCCCUCAGGGGAUGUUGGAGAGUUGGUUUCAGCCCAAUCCCCACAGGCCAGGCCGAGGGACUCCACCAGUGCACA
RNAcentral lists this microRNA precursor (127 nucleotides) under Myotis davidii. RNAcentral describes it as "mir-9193 microRNA precursor family". It matches the Rfam family "mir-9193 microRNA precursor family". The record is from Rfam by way of RNAcentral. Lineage: Eukaryota; Metazoa; Chordata; Mammalia; Chiroptera; Vespertilionidae.